This 1205-nucleotide ribosomal RNA is filed under the name metagenome. RNAcentral describes it as "SSU rRNA". It matches the Rfam family "Eukaryotic small subunit ribosomal RNA", at positions 364 to 1615 of the family's 1831-position model. The record is from RNAcentral.
GGGGAAUUAGGGUUUGAUACCGGAGAGGGAGCCUGAGAAACGGCUACCACUUCUAUGGAAGGCAGCAGGCGCGUAAAUUACCCAAUGUCGAAUCGGCGAGGUAGUGACAAGAAAUAAUAACUCGGGGUCUUUUGACUUUACGAGAUUAAAAUGAGAACAAUUUAAAAAUCUUAACGAGGAACAAUUGGAGGGCAAGUCUGGUGCCAGCAGCCGCGGUAAUUCCAGCUCCAAAAGCGUAUAUUAAUGUUGUUGCAGUUAAAAAGCUCGUAGUCUAUCUUCUUAGAGUGCGGGGGACCGGCUACGCCGUCCCAAGCAAUCUAAUCUGCCCGAAAGCCUUGUCUGUCCUUCGCUGGUCAACAAGGUGUCUUGGGCUCUUUACUGAGAAAAAAUUAGAGUGUUCAACGCAGGCAAUCGCAGAGAAUACACAAGCUUGGAAUAAUAGAAUAAGGCUAAAGUCUUUUUGUUGGUUAUGAGGCUUUAGUAAUGGUUAAUAGGAACAGACGGGGGCCUUAGUAUUUAAUUGUCAGAGGUGAAAUUCUCGGAUUUAUUAAGGACUAACUAGUGCGAGAGCAUUUGCCAAGGAUGUUUUCAAUUGAUCAAGAACGAAAGUUAGGGGAUCAAAGACGAUCAGAUACCGUCCUAGUCUUGACUAUAAACGAUUCCGACUAAGGAUCGGAGAGGUAACUUCAGCCUCUUCGGCACUUUUUGAGAAAUCAAAGUCUUUGGGUUCCGGGGGAAGUAUGGACACAAGUCUGAAACUUAAAGGAAUUGACGGAAGGGCACACCAGGAGUGGAGCCUGCGGCUUAAUUUGACCCAACACGGGAAAACUUACCAGGUCAAGACAUGGGUGGGAUUGACAGAAAUGAGAGCUCUUUCUUGAUUCUAUGGAAGGUGGUGCAUGGCCGUUCUUAGUUGGUGGAGUGAUUUGUCUGGUUAAUUCCGUUAACGAACGAGACCUUAACCAGCUAAACUAGAAGUACUUUAACUAAGGUAUAUUCUUCUUAGAGGGACUAUGUGUUCAAGCACAUGGAAGUUUGAGGCAAUAACAGGUCUGAGAUGCCCCUAGACGUCCUGGGCCGCACGCGCGCUACAAUGACACAUUCAACGAGUACUUCCUGCUCUGACAAGAGUCGGGUAAUCUUUAUAGCAUGUGUCGUGCUGGGGAUAGUCCUUUGCAAUUAUAGGACUUGAACUAGGAAUUCCU